RNAcentral lists this ribosomal RNA (468 nucleotides) under uncultured bacterium. Its description in RNAcentral is "partial 16S ribosomal RNA". It matches the Rfam family "Bacterial small subunit ribosomal RNA", at positions 28 to 507 of the family's 1533-position model. The record is from RNAcentral.
GACGAACGCUGGCGGCGUGCUUAACACAUGCAAGUCGAACGGAAAGGCCCUGCUUUUGUUGGUUGCUCGAGUGGCGAACGGGGGAGUAACACGUGAGUAACCUGCCCUUGACUUUCGGAUAACUUCAGGAAACUGGGGCUAAUACCGGAUAUGAGCUCCUGCUGCAUGGUGGGGGUUGGAAAGUUUCGGCCGUUGUGGAUGGACUCGCGGCUUAUCAGCUUGUUGGUGUGGUAGUGGCUUACCAAGGCUGUGACGGGUAGCCGGCCUUAGAGGGUGACCGGCCACAAUGGGACUGAGGGACGGCGCAGACGCGUACGGGAGGCAGCAGUGGGGAACAUUGCACAAUGGGCGGAAGUCUGAUGCAGAAGCGCCGCGUGCGGAAUGACGGCCUUCGGGUUGUAAACCGCUUUCGCCUGUGACGAAGCGGGAGUGACGGUAAUGGGUAAAGAAGCACCGGCUAACUACGUG